Molecule: non-coding RNA, 135 nt
Organism: Triticum urartu
Lineage: Eukaryota; Viridiplantae; Streptophyta; Magnoliopsida; Poales; Poaceae
Source: Rfam
UCGGUACUCCCUCCGUCUGAAAAUACUUGUCAUCAAAAUGAAUAAAAAAGGAUGUGUCUAGAACUAAAAUACAUCUAGAUACAUCUUAUUUUAUUUAUUUUGAUGACAAGUAUUUUCAGACGAAGAGAGUAUAAG